CUCAUCAAUGGCUCUCCUGGGCCUCCGAUCGCCCAUGCCUACGGGUUGCAGCAGGGAGACCCCAUUUCCCCCAUGCUCUUCACUAUUGCCAUUGACGCCCUGAACUCGCUUCCUCUGCAUGCCCACCAGUGCGGCUUGCUCCAGCGCCUCACCGCUCGCCACGCCUCGUCGAGCAUAUCCCUCUACAUCGAUGAUGUUGUUAUCUUACGCCACCCCUCGGUCCGCGAUCUUCGAGUUAUCCGCGAGCUUCUGCGUGUCUUCAACGAGGCAUCC
This 273-nucleotide ribosomal RNA is filed under the name Triticum aestivum (bread wheat). RNAcentral describes it as "partial small subunit ribosomal RNA". Lineage: Eukaryota; Viridiplantae; Streptophyta; Magnoliopsida; Poales; Poaceae. The record is from RNAcentral.